AAUCGAGGGUAAAGGAAGAGGGGUUGUUGCUGAGGAAUCCUUUGAGGAAGGGGAUACGGCCACGAGCUGAAUCGGAUGGUGAUUCGAAGAAAACGCAAGGAAGAAGAAGAAGCGCGUGCACUACACGCAGGCGCGUGAGGGCCGCGACUGGUUGUGCGACUGGGCGUGCUCCUGGCGCGUGGGACAGACACACCGAGGAUGAGAGGGCGCGUGAGGGCGCGUGAAGCAUCAUUUUGGGUUCCCGGUCUAAUUGGAAGGAAUUGUGUUGAAAUACCCUAUUAAAU
This is a long non-coding RNA of Cucurbita moschata (crookneck pumpkin), 284 nucleotides long. RefSeq lists it as uncharacterized. Lineage: Eukaryota; Viridiplantae; Streptophyta; Magnoliopsida; Cucurbitales; Cucurbitaceae. The record is from RefSeq and is a predicted model, not a curated record. The transcript is spliced from 3 exons.